RNAcentral lists this ribosomal RNA (529 nucleotides) under uncultured bacterium. Its description in RNAcentral is "bacterial SSU rRNA". It matches the Rfam family "Bacterial small subunit ribosomal RNA", at positions 355 to 897 of the family's 1533-position model. The record is from RNAcentral.
CAAGGAAUUUUCCCCAAUGGGCGCAAGCCUGGGGGAGCAACGCCGCGUGGAGGACGACGGCCUUCGGGUUGUAAACUCCUUUUGGGGGGGACGAUGAUGACGGUACCCCCCGAAUCAGCCCCGGCUAACUCUGUGCCAGCAGCCGCGGUAAGACAGAGGGGGCAAGCGUUGUCCGGACUGACUGGGCGUAAAGCGCGCGCAGGCGGUCUGAGGCGUCGGUGCUGAAAGUCCACCGCUUAACGGUGGGAAGCGCGCCGAUACGCUCAGACUGGAGGACGGGCGAGGGUGGUGGAAUUGCCGGUGUGGUGGUGAAAUGCGUAGAGAUCGGCAGGAACACCAGUGGCGAAGGCGGCCACCUAGCCCGCACCUGACGCUGAGGCGCGACAGCGUGGGGAGUGAACUGGAUUAGAUACCCAGGUAAUCCACGCCGUAAACGAUGCCGACUCGGUCUUCGUGGGGCGAAUAGCCCUGGGGGGGCCCGAGCUCACGCGCUAAGUCGGCCGCCUGGGGACUACGAGCGCAAGCUUAA